This 408-nucleotide ribosomal RNA is filed under the name uncultured microorganism. Its description in RNAcentral is "bacterial SSU rRNA". It matches the Rfam family "Bacterial small subunit ribosomal RNA", at positions 509 to 917 of the family's 1533-position model. The record is from RNAcentral.
CAGCCGCCGCGGUAAUACGUAGGGUGCAAGCGUUAAUCGGAAUUACUGGGCGUAAAGCGUGCGCAGGCGGUUCGGAAAGAAAGAUGUGAAAUCCCAGAGCUUAACUUUGGAACUGCAUUUUUAACUACCGGGCUAGAGUGUGUCAGAGGGAGGUGGAAUUCCGCGUGUAGCAGUGAAAUGCGUAGAUAUGCGGAGGAACACCGAUGGCGAAGGCAGCCUCCUGGGAUAACACUGACGCUCAUGCACGAAAGCGUGGGGAGCAAACAGGAUUAGAUACCCUGGUAGUCCACGCCCUAAACGAUGUCAACUAGCUGUUGGGGCCUUCGGGCCUUGGUAGCGCAGCUAACGCGUGAAGUUGACCGCCUGGGGAGUACGGUCGCAAGAUUAAAACUUAAAGGAAUUGGCGGG